RNAcentral lists this unclassified non-coding RNA (173 nucleotides) under soil metagenome. Its description in RNAcentral is "partial internal transcribed spacer 1". The record is from RNAcentral.
CCGAGUACCGGGUCCUCUGGGCCCAUGCUCCCACCCUUUGUGUACCUACCUGUUUUUUCGUUGCCUCGGCGGGGUCGAUCCCCAGGGCCUGCCGGCCCCGUGGGGGACCCGCCGGGGGGACACGCCCUAAACUCCUGUCAACCGUGACGUCUGAGAGAGAAACAAACCAGUCA